RNAcentral lists this unclassified non-coding RNA (244 nucleotides) under rhizosphere metagenome. RNAcentral's name for it is "partial ribosomal RNA internal transcribed spacer region". The record is from RNAcentral.
GUAGGUGAACCUGCGGAAGGAUCAUUAACAAGAGUUUUAUGCCCUUUUUAUGGGGUAAGACCUCCAAACCCCUAUGUUAUGUUAACUUUUGUUGCUUUGGCGGGUCGUUAAAGUUUUUAACUUUUCCAUUGGCUUCGGCUAGUGUGUUUACCCGCCAGAGGAAAUCAAAACUCUGAAUUUUAUGUUGUCUGAGUUUUUAAACCAAUUAAAAAAAAAACUUUCAACAACGGAUCUCUUGGUUCUG